CUCCUUGGUGGGAGCCUUUUCCUGCGAGCCCCAAAUCUUCCGAUCCGGGUCCAAGAUGGCUUUAGGCUGUAUCCCUUCCUGGAAGAGGGACAGUGCCAAAGAAUGAAGUGUUUGCACCAUUUCCAUGUGCAAUAACCCCAGCUGCCAUGCAGUCCCUUGGAGCCUCUUGAACUAAGAGUACCUGACCCACAUUAACCAUUCAUGCAAUCAGUAACAGGAACACAGCCCCAGGGCAGGAGAUGCACCUUUGAUGCCAUGUGCUGAGAAGGACGAAGGGCCUGGCUGGUUGUUGAGCAGCCUUGCUGAGCUCCUGUGGACAAGUGCCCCCAAUGUGUGCUGUGCUAGGUUGCAGUGCCAAGGGAGCACUGAUCAGCUGCUACACAAAUCACACCAACAGCACUGCUGGAGAGAUAGAGAGAAGAUUUUAGGGUUAUUGUUUCUCAUUUCAUGACCUAUUAAAUGUACUGGUUAUUCUGGUAUGUUCAACUGUGCUAUAAAGAUCUUGGAUGGCUGAUGAUUGCUGUGCUCUUGAAAGGUUGUUUUUACUGAAAUUCCUGAUACUUGCUAUUUAUUUUGACUGCAAUUCAACUGUCUUGCCUGAAUGGCUGUGUAAUGAGCUAACAGCCAGGAUGAACUUUAUGUCUGUUUAAAUGCUUGUGGCUUUGGUGUAUAAUGUAAUAUGAUGCUGUCCUCUGGGACAACGUGGGAAAAUGUAAAAACCAAUUCCAUCCAUGUUUGCAAUAUUAGAAAGGCAACUUCAUCAGGUUGGACAGGCUUGGCUUCUUUUUGUAGUAGGACAGGUAAAGCAAUGCUAUGUUUCUCAAACUCUUUGCAUUAAGAUUUUUUUAAUACAAUUAAAUAUUUGCAGAAGUUACAUCUAAUAGAUUCUUCAUUGUACAAGGAUAUCUUACUUUGUAUUUUAUUGUGCCUUCUACAAACAGUUUGGCAAACCCAGCUUUCUCCUCAUUUAACCACAUAAACAUGGAAAAAAAAAUCCAAAAUCAAACUCAGUUCUUGUAUUCUCAGUCAUCUCAAUAAAGGUUA
Molecule: long non-coding RNA, 1044 nt
Organism: Numida meleagris (helmeted guineafowl)
Lineage: Eukaryota; Metazoa; Chordata; Aves; Galliformes; Numididae
Exons: 3
Source: RefSeq, a predicted model, not a curated record